Molecule: ribosomal RNA, 239 nt
Filed under: uncultured Lactobacillus sp.
Lineage: Bacteria; Bacillati; Bacillota; Bacilli; Lactobacillales; Lactobacillaceae
Description: partial 16S ribosomal RNA
Rfam family: Bacterial small subunit ribosomal RNA
Source: RNAcentral
UAACCUGCCCAAGAGAUCGGGAUAACACCUGGAAACAGAUGCUAAUACCGGAUAACAACAGAUGAUGCCUAUCAACUGUUUAAAAGAUGGUUCUGCUAUCACUCUUGGAUGGACCUGCGGUGCAUUAGCUAGUUGGUAGGGUAACGGCCUACCAAGGCAUGAUGCAUAGCCGAGUUGAGAGACUGAUCGGCCACAUUGGGACUGAGACACGGCCCAAACUCCUACGGGAGGCAGCAGUC